This 468-nucleotide ribosomal RNA is filed under the name uncultured bacterium. RNAcentral describes it as "partial 16S ribosomal RNA". It matches the Rfam family "Bacterial small subunit ribosomal RNA", at positions 28 to 507 of the family's 1533-position model. The record is from RNAcentral.
GACGAACGCUGGCGGCGUGCUUAACACAUGCAAGUCGAACGGAAAGGCCCUGCUUUUGUGGGGUGCUCGAGUGGCGAACGGGUGAGUAACACGUGAGUAACAUGCACUUGACUUUGGGAUAACUUCAGGAAAAUGGGGCUAAUACCGGAUAGGAGCUACUGCUGCAUGGUGGGGGUUGGAAAGUGUCGGCGGUUUGGGAUGGACUCGAGGGUAAUCCGCUUGUUGGUGGGGUAGUGGCUUACCAAGGUUUUGACGGGUAGCCGGCCUGGGAGGGUGAACGGCCUCAUGGGGACUGCGGUACGGCCCAGACUCCAACGGGACGCAACAGGGGGGAAUAUUGCACAAUGGGCGGAAGCCUGAUGCAGCAACGCCGCGUGCGGGAUGACGGCCUUCGGGUUGUAAACCGCUUUCGCCUGUGACGAAGCGUGAGUGACGGUAAUGGGUAAAGAAGCACCGGCUAACUACGUG